This 409-nucleotide long non-coding RNA is filed under the name Homo sapiens (human). RNAcentral's name for it is "HSALNT0317132". The record is from RNAcentral. Lineage: Eukaryota; Metazoa; Chordata; Mammalia; Primates; Hominidae.
UUGGCAACUACAACUCUUUGGAAAUUACCAGUAUCUCAUGCAAGAUGUAGCCAUUACUUUGAUGGUCUGUUUAACAAAUCAGUGCAUUUCUCUAUGUGAAGCAGCAGCCUUGGUAUUGUGAGGUCUACCAAUACAGUGAGUGUUUUCUGGCCAACCAAAGUAAUUUUUCAACAAAUGUGAGUUUGGAAAGAAACUGGACUGGAAAUGCAACUCUGAUUCCUGGUUCAAUUUUAAGUUUUGAGACCACCACACUGUGGCCCAUCACCACCAUCAACUAUAUCACAGUAGCAUUCAUCUUUUCUAAGGGAAAGCCAUUUCGAAAACCCAUCUAUACAAACUAUAUAUUUUCAUUUCUGCUGCUAGCUGCCUUGGGCCUCACAAUUUUCAUUCUGUUUUCUGACUUUCAAGU